CAGGACAGGUACAGAACAGGCAGCGACAGUGCGAGCUUUCCCACACCAACCCGCCCAUGUGCCUCAACCCUGACCUGGAGGGACUACCUCUAGG
This 94-nucleotide small RNA is filed under the name Dasypus novemcinctus (nine-banded armadillo). RNAcentral describes it as "TUC338 (ENSDNOG00000044917.1)". The record is from RNAcentral. Lineage: Eukaryota; Metazoa; Chordata; Mammalia; Cingulata; Dasypodidae.